RNAcentral lists this ribosomal RNA (330 nucleotides) under uncultured Pseudomonas sp. Its description in RNAcentral is "bacterial SSU rRNA". It matches the Rfam family "Bacterial small subunit ribosomal RNA", at positions 1050 to 1382 of the family's 1533-position model. The record is from RNAcentral. Lineage: Bacteria; Pseudomonadati; Pseudomonadota; Gammaproteobacteria; Pseudomonadales; Pseudomonadaceae.
UGUCGUCAGCUCGUGUCGUGAGAUGUUGGUUAAGUCCGUACGAGCGCAACCCUUGUCCUUAGUUACCAGCACGUUAUGGUGGGCGACUCUAAGGAGACUGCCGGUGACAACCGGAGGAAGGUGGGGAUGACGUCAAGUCAUCAUGGCCCUUACGGCCUGGGCUACACACGUGCUACAAUGGUCGGUACAAAGGGUUGCCAAGCCGCGAGGUGGAGCUAAUCCCAUAAAACCGAUCGUAGUCCGGAUCGCAGUCUGCAACUCGACUGCGUGAAGUCGGAAUCGCUAGUAAUCGUGAAUCAGAAUGUCACGGUGAAUACGUUCCCGGGCCUU